GGACUGUUGAAGAGUCCCAUAAUAGAACGAAACUGCCGUCCGGUGC
RNAcentral lists this non-coding RNA (46 nucleotides) under Schistosoma mansoni. Lineage: Eukaryota; Metazoa; Platyhelminthes; Trematoda; Strigeidida; Schistosomatidae. The record is from RNAcentral.